RNAcentral lists this long non-coding RNA (14513 nucleotides) under Sorghum bicolor (sorghum). RNAcentral's name for it is "long non-coding RNA (SBIC_LNC002426)". Lineage: Eukaryota; Viridiplantae; Streptophyta; Magnoliopsida; Poales; Poaceae. The record is from RNAcentral.
AUGGGGAAGGGGAGAAGGCACGCCGAGGGCACCAGGGUGCUCGUCGUGCCCUUGCGAGGUCGAGUCCGGGCUCACUUUGACGAGAACAGCAGCGGGGCGGAGCGCAGCGGAGGUCGGGAUCUCGGCGACUUCAAUGGCGGCGGCAAGCUUUGAUUAGGGUUUUGCGGGGGCUUGGGAGAGCGAUUAGGGCUUCUAGGGAGGCGUGCGGCGGCUGCAGGGCGCCCUUAAAUAGGUGAAGGCGAACCUCGGUUCGCGUGUGCGCAGAAACCGGGGCGGCGGCGCGGCGGCUGCCCCGUCCGAAUCGGACGGGAGGUUGGGGAUGACCACCCCGCUGACAGGUGGGGCCCCCUGGUCAGCGGCUGCGGGUGGAGAGGAGGCAGGCGGGGGCGCUGGGCUGGGCACUCGGGGCGCAGGUGCUGCGUGGCUGGGCCGCGGCCCACUCGGGCGUGCAGGGGGGGAAGGGAGGCCGGCCCAGGGCGCUUGCCCUUUUCCUUUCUCUUUUUUUUUUCUUUUUAUUCAAAAGGGUUUAAACUAAAUUUUCAACACCUUUAUAAACCAAAAUUUGAUUUAUUAAUUUGGGUCGUUUUGAGAAUUGUUUUCUCUACUGCUUUUGAAAACAAAGCAUUUUUUUUCUUAAUAACAUAUUUUUAAAUUAUUUUUCCACUCAAAUAUAAAUUAGUUUUCAAAUAUGACUUUUGGAGUUUUAUUUUUUUAAAAACCGAAAGGACCUAAACGUGCUCUCUAGAAAUUUUGAAAUUCAUUUUUCUGAGACAAGCCAAACAAAGCUAGGGCACAAAACACACAUCAAAUAAAACACCCUCCACUUAAUUUAUUAAAAGUUUUAAAAUUCCACAUUUUUCUCAUUUUAUAUUAACAACAAUGAAUAAAAUCUUGGAAUAUUUUACAAAAAUUUUUAAAUCCUUAAUUAAUUUAGUGUUUUCUAAUAACAAUCCAAAAUUAAAAAUUUUGGAGUGUUAUUUGUUGCCUCGAUCGGAUCUUAACGACCUGGACCAAGCGGCGACGUGGACGUGCGGGAUGAACAUGGUCGCGCGACACACAAGAAUUGGCGGCGACGGGCGAAGGAAUUGCGCGUGAAAAAGAAAGCGCCCGCGCGACGCGCGAGAGAAUUUCCCGCGAAGAUGAAAGAUUCUCGGAUAAAAAUAGUUAGGUCUACUAUUUUGGGAAAUGCCAAGUCAAAAAUGCCAAACACUUGGAGAUGAACUUAUUUUUUCUUUGGCAAAACGUUUAGGGACUUGGCAAAUUCCAGCAAAUGACAAAUUUUAAUUGCAUAACUGUUGGAUGCUCUUAGAGCAUCUCCAAGGGCCUCUCCAAAUCAAUUUUGCAUUUGGUAAUUUGCAAAAAACCACAAAAAGAGGGCUCCAAUGGUUUUGUAAAUGAGUUUUGCAUUUGUGCAAACUUUGCAAAUCUUUCUCCCAACUUGGCAUUUAUGCAGAGGACUCUGGGUUUGGCAAAAUAGAGUAUGCCAAGUCAGUUUUGCAAAGGUCCUUGGAAUAGGCAUCUUUUUAGGCUUUGCAUUUUGUUUUGAGACUUUGCAAAUAACCUCAAAUGCAAAACUGAUUUGGAGAGGCCCUUGGAGAUGCUUACAAGCAAAGAUUAACAUACAUUAGGUAUAUACAACUUCCAAUAUAACCAAGUCAUAGUUUGUACCUUUACAAAUAUUUGUUACAAUUGAAUAUAUCAUUUCAUCUAUAUCUCUGGCAGCGCUCCGCAAUCUUAAGUGUGCUAAGUUGAGAUUGUGUCACCAGAUUUUCUUUUAACAGGAAGUGACUAGAUAAUAAAUCAAUCUACGAAUUCUUCACCUCAAGGCAUAAAAUAAGCUUCUAAUAACUUUCUGUACACAUGUUUCUUCCUAGAACGAUAAUCCCACUUCCAUAUGCAUCAUUGUAACAAGACAAUGAAUGUUCUCGAAUAUUAUUACAUAUUCACACCAUAACUUAGUUAUUUGACAUUGACGAAAUUGAGGAAGGAGAUUUUUUAAUUCGCUUUAAGCUACGACAUAAGCAUGAUGAUUUUAAGUUUAAUUUGAUUUCAGUUUAUGGACCGGCACAGUUAGACCAAAAAUCAAAUUUCCUGUCUAAGUUGGUGUGAAUAUGUUCAAAAGAAACCUUACCUUUAGUGAUAGGUGGUGAUUUUAACAUUAUUCCUAGGCCUGGUGAGAAAAACAAUAAUAACUACAAUGACAGGUGGCCUUUCUUGUUUAAUGCAGUAAUAGAUACCCUCAACAUGAGAGAAUUAGAGAUGUCAGGCAGAAAGAUUUACUUGGGCUAAUCAUAUGCAAAACCAAACUUUUGAAAAAUUGGACCGAGUGUUGGUUUGCAACGACUUUGAAUUUAAAUUUCCGCAUUCUACUUUACAUGCUUUGUCCAGAGAGAUAUCCGAUCACACUCCUUUAUUCUUGAAUACUAAUAACCCAUCGUCGUCUUACCAGCUCCCAUUCAAAUUUGAAUUAGGAUGGUUGAUGAGAGAGGGUUUUUGUGACAUGGUACAAGAUGUGUGCAAUAGUAUGAUUGUCAUUGGCACUCCUUUGGAGAGGUGGCAAGCCAAAAUCAGGAGGCUACGCCAAUACCUACGAGGGUGGGCAAAAAAUAUAAGUGGGGCAUAUAAGAAAGAGAAGCAAACUUUAUUGAAUAAAUUAGAUGAGCUAGACAAAAAGGCAGAAAGUUCUAUUCUAGGAGAUUUAGAUUUAAAUCUAAAACAUGUUCUAAAUGAAAGAUUGUCCGAAUUACUUAGGGAGGAGGAAAUUAAAUGGUACCAAAGAGCAAAAGUAAAACAUCUCCUGGAGGGCGAUGCAAACACAAAAUACUAUCAUUUGCUUGCAAAUGGUUGACAUCGAAAAACCCGUAUUUUCUAGUUGGAAGAUGGGUCAAAUAUAAUAACUGGUGAUGCCCAGCUUAAAGAGCAUAUUACCAGCUAUUAUAAAAACUUGUUUGGCCCCCCAUAAGUGUCUAUGGUGUCCCUUGAUGAGCUCCAAAUAGAGGAUAUCCGUCAGGUCUCUAUAUUUUAAAACGAACACCUCACAGAACAAUUCUCGGAGAAUGAGGUUAGGGCUGCGAUUUUCCAAAUGGAGCACAAUAAGCUGUCUGGGCCAGAUGGAUUCCCACCAGAGUUUUACCAGUUUUUUUAGAACUUGAUAAAAGAUGAUUGAUGGCUUUGUUUAGGGAAUUCCAUCAAGGCGAGUUGCACCUAGAUACCUUAAACUUUGGUAAUAUAAUUUUACUCCCAAAAAAGGAUGAUGCAAGAGUCAUACAACAAUAUAGACCGAUUUGUUUGUUGAAUGUCUCCUUCAAGAUUUUCACAAAGGUGGCACUGAAUAGACUAACAUCUGUUGCACAUAAUAUUAUUAGACCUACCCAAACAGCUUUUCUUCCAGGUUGAAAUAUUAUGGAGGGAGCGGUGAUCUUACAUGAAACUAUACAUGAGUUGAGUUCAAAGAAACAAGAUGGUAUUAUUUUUAAAAUAGACUUUGAGAAGGCAUAUGAUAAUGUGAAAUGGAGCUUUUUGCAACAAAGUUUAAGGAUGAAAGGGUUCUCACAAAAAUGGUGUGAUUGGGUUCAGCACUUCACGCAAGGGGGCAAUGUUAACAUUAAGGUAAAUGAUCAAUUAGGAUCCUAUUUCCAAACAAAAAAGGGCUUGAGGCAGGGUGACCCAUUGUCGCCAAUACUAUUUAAUAUAGUGGUAGAUAUGUUGGCCAUACUCAUUGCUAGAUCAAAGGAAGCAGGAUAGGUGGAAGGGGUUAUUCCUCAUCUGAUCCAAGAUGGUUUAUCUAUACUGCAAUAUGCGGAUGACACGGUGAUCUUUAUGAGCCAUGAUAUCCAAAAGGUGAUUAAUAUGAAAUUGAUACUAACUACCUUUGAGAAACUAUCAGGGCUCAAGAUCAACUUCCAAAAGAGUGAAAUCUUUUGCUUUGGGAAAGCAAAAGAACAUGAAGAGUUUUAUACGCAAUUAUUCGGUUGUGAUGUCGGAAAGUACCUUUUCGCUAUCUGGGCUUACCCAUGAACACAAGAAAAUUAAGUAAUAGAGAUUGGCAAGAAAUAGAAAACAGAAUUGAGAAGAGACUAAGUGGUUGGAAAGGUAAGAUGCUUUCCACCGGUGGUCGUUUAGUACUGAUAAACUCGGUACUUUCCAGCCUACCAAUGUUUAUGCUGUCUUUUUGGAAAUUCCACGAGGUGUGUUACAAAAAAUGGACUAUUUUAGGUCGAGGUUUUAUUGGCAGAAUGACCAAGACAAACUAAAAUACAUAUUAGUUAAAUGAGAAAUUCUAUGCCAACCAAAAAUUCAAGGAGGUUUAGGUAUUCAGAACUUGGACAUACAAAACAAGUGUUUGCUAAGCAAAUGGCUUUUUAAAUUGUUAAAUGAAGAUGGUUUGUGGCAAGAACUUUUGAGGAACAAAUAUAUUAAAGACAAGAUGUUAGGGGGUUGUGUAAAAAGGGCAAUAGAUUCCCAUUUCUGGAAAAGUCUGAUGAAUGUUAAGGAGGUUUUUAUGAGUUUCGGAUCGUUCAAAAUCAUGAAUGGCAAGCAAACUCAUUUCUGGUUGGACACGUGGCUGGGUAAUCGCCCACUUAAAGAUAGAUUUCCUACUUUGUUUAACAUAGUAAGAAUAAAUCAUAAUUCUGUAGCUAAGGUACUUAGUUCAGUUCCACUAAACAUUUCUUUUCGAAGGAAUUUAGUGGGAAGAAAUCUAAGAGAUUGGCAUAGAAUUGUUAAUUCUUUACUUGAUGUAUUUAUUUGGGCUUUACAUUCAUCAGGGAGCUUCUCAGUUAAGUCUAUAUAUGUUGCGUUGAUUAACACAAUGGAGUUAGAGUUUCACAAGAUAUUUGGCGUAUUAAAAUUCCUUCAAAAAUAAAGAUAUUUUUGUGGUAUCUAAAAAAGGGUGUAAUUUUAACUAAAGAUAACCUGGCCAAGCGUAAUUGGGUUGGAGACACGAGGUGUAGCUUUUGCUACUCACCAGAAAAUAUUCAACACCUUUUCUUAGACUGUUUCUACGCCAAAUUCUUAUGGCGCGUUGUACACCUUUUGUUUGGGGUCUCGCCUCCACAUAGUAUAGAAGACAUGUUUAAUAGAUAGUCGAAAUUGGGAGGGAAGAAACAUAACAAAUUGUUAUUGACUGCGGCAUCAGCGUUGCUAUGGACAAUUUAGCUCACGAGAAACGAAGUGAUUUUUGAUAAAUGUAGACCAAAAUCUUUUUUGCAGGUUCUGUUCAGGGGAACUCACUAGCUACGUCAAUGGGCAAAGUUGCAGCGGUGUGACAAACUAUGAGGCUAGCUUAUCCUAGUAGGACAAUACCUUGAGACAUCUGCUUUGUAUUUCUUAGGCUCCAGUGGUUGGUUGUCAACUAGGAGCAUUGGUCUUGUUUAGUUCUUAAACUAUAUUUCGUUUGCUUGAGUGAGUACUGUGAGUUGCUUUUUCUUUACAGCAUGGGUGCUGGUGUGUGGUUCUUCUUUGUAAUAAUUGGUUGAGUCUACCUUUGUAGAUGAAGCCAGAUAUGAACUAUCCAUUAUCUAAAAAAAGUUAUUUGUAGACUUUGUAGCCCAGCCACAGGCAACAAGGUCUGACAAACCUGCAUAUGGUUUCAAUAGUUGCAGUAGCAAAUGUCACACCCGUAACCGCGGCGGGUCACCGGCGGCAUGAGAUCUCGACAGAAUUACGGCAAACCCCGGCGCUGGUGUGGGCAAACCCCCAGCCUUGGCGUCCUUGCUUUACUGAUGUCUGAAUCGAAUAAGUCUCAUUACAGAACUGGAGACACUUAUGUGUCUGCCUACAGUACUGGCACUAGGGCCCACAUGUCAUAGACAUGGUUGAAUACAAGUAAUGGAAAAUGCGCUAAUGCUCUAUGAAGGCGGCUUCUGUGCGUCGUGGCCAUCGUGUGUGACACCUCCUCCCCCUUGAGUUCCAGCUUGUCCCCAAGUUGGUGCUUCUGGAAACCUUGCCUUGACGACAUUGUAGUCUUCCUAGGUUGUAGCAGUAGCAGGGAGUCGAACCCACGUGAGCUUCACCUGUGGAAUGGCCGAGUUGCCCUUGCGAACCAAACGGCGGUCGAUGACUUCCUUGGGUACUGCAUCUGUGGCUUCGAGGUCAGUGAUCUUGGGUAAAGCAUCAAACAUUGGACUGUAGUCUAGAGUGAAUGGUUUGAGCUGAGAGAUGUGGAAUACAGGAUGGAUCAUGGACUCAGCUGGCAGCUGGAGCUUGUAGGCCAACUUACCCACCCGUUGCAGGACCUUGUAAGGGCCAUAUUAUUUGAAUGCCAAUUUUGGGUAUGGUCUGUUGGCCACUGUUGAUUGAGUAUAUGGCUGGAGCUUCAGCAACACUUGAUCUCCCACCUAGAAUUGAAAAUCCCUACAUUUCUUGUCAGCAGCUAGUUUCAUUUUGUUCUGAGCUCUGGCGAGGUGUGUCUUCAAAGACUGCAGAUGCUGUUCUCUAUGCUCAAUCAUUUCAGUAACAGGGACAGAUGUUGCAGUUGAGGUUGUUGGUUCAGCUGCCAAUCUGGGUUCAUAACCAAACAUAGCCUUGAAUGGGGAGCAGCCCAAAGCAAAGUGUAAAGAAGAGUUAUACCAAAGCUUAGCUAAAGGCAACCAUUGUUUCCAUGAUUUGGGAGAUUCAUGCACGGCACAUCUCAAAUACAUCUCAAGGCACUGAUUCACCCUCUCUGAUUGUCCAUCAGUCUGUGGAUGAUAGGUUGUGCUGAGAUUCAGUGUGGUCUUGUAGGUUGUGAACAGUUCUUUCCACAAAUGGCUAACAAAUAUAGGAUCUCUAUCUGAGGUAAUAGAGCUUGGCAAGCCAUGUAGUUUCACAAUGUUGUCCAUGAAUGCUUGUGCUACCACAGCAGCAGUGUAAGGGUGCUUGAGGGGAAUGAAAUGGGCAGCUUUGGUGAGUCUGUCCACUACUACUAGAAUGACACUGUAACCCUCAGAUUUAGGCAGUCCUUCGAUGAAAUCCAUGGUCAAGUCUUGCCACAUACCUUCUGAAAUGGGUAGGGGUUGGAGGAGUCCCAUUGGAUUUUGCAGAGAGUGUUUGGCCUGCUGACAAACUGCAUAUUGUUUGAUGAAAUUCUCAAUGUCUGUCUUCAUGCCUUUCCAGGAAAAAUGUUUCCUGAGUCUGUAGUAAGUUGGAGCAAUGCCUAAGUGACCACCUAGAGCACUGGAGUGGGAACUGGCAAUGAGUUUAGUUUGUAGAGCUGAGUUGUCCCCAAUCCAGACCUUCCCAUGCUUCGAGAUGAGGCUCUUGUCUAGAGAGAAACAGUGAGAAUCAGGGCUGGAGACUGCCAAUUGUUUGAGAAGUUGUUGGGCCUUGGGGUCUGUUGUAUAUGAGUUGAGUACCUCUUGCACCCAAAUUGGUUGGACUGUGGAGACUGCCUGAAUAGCCAUCAUAUGCCCCACUCUUGAUAAAGCAUCAGCAGCUAAGUUUUCCUUGCCCUUCUUGUAAAUGAUUCUGAAGUUCAGACCCAUCAUCCUGGUCAUUGCUUUGCGCUGCAUCUCAGAGUGGAGGUUCUGUUCCUUAAGAUAGGCCAAGGAUUUGUGGUCUGUCUGAAUGAUGAAUUCUCCUCUCUGUAGGUAGUGUCUCCAUUUGUCAACUGCCAUGAUUAAGGUCAAGAAUUCUUUCUCAUAUAUUGACAGGGUUUUAUGCCUGUCUCCCAAUGCCUUGCUCAGGUAAGCAAUGGGUUGAUGUUUCUGCAUCAGAACUGCUCCAAUGCCAUCUUGACAUGCAUCUGUUUCUACUAUGAAAGUUUCCUGAAAAUUGGGUAAGGCCAGCACUUGGGUAGUUGUCAUGGCUGUCUUUAGUUGUUGAAAAGCUUCCUAGGCCACUGGGUUCCACUCAAAGUGUUUGAGUCUCAGAAUAGCAGUGAGUGGCUUGCUGAUGAUGCCAUACCCUUUGACAAACUUUCUAUUGUAACCUGUGAGUCUUAGGAAGGCUCUUAAUUCAGUCAUGGAAGUUGGCUGAGGCUAGUUGAGCAUGUCAGUAAUCUUAGAAGGAUCUGUGGAAACCCCUUUGGAUGAAAUGAUGUGUCUGAGGUAUUCUAGACUGUCCUGUGCAAAGCUGCAUUUGGACUCCUUCAGGUAUAGUUGAUGGCGUCGAAGUGUUUCCAACACUAGCUCUAGAUGAUAGAAGUGCUCCUCCUGAGAAGGGUUGUAAAUGGGGAUGUCAUCUAGAAAGACUAGUACAAAUUUUCUAAGAUAAGGCUUUAAGACUUCAUUCAUGACACACUGGAAAGUUGCAGGGGCAUUGGUUAGACUGAAAGGCAUGACUUUGUGUUGAUAGUGGCCAUGGUGGGUCUUGAAUGUUGUUUUGUGUUCAUCCUCAGGUAGCAUCCUGAUCUGGUCGUACCCUGAUCUCAUGUCCAGUUUGGUGAAAACUUGAGAACCAGCUAGUUCAUCCAGUAUCUCAUCUAUCACAGGCAUUGGAAAUUUGUUCUUGAUGGUGAUGUCAUUUAAUUUCCUAUAAUCAACACAUAGUCUCCAAGUGCCAUCCUUCUUUUUUACCAACAUUACUGGGGAGGCAUAAGGACUAUGGCUAUGAGUAAUGAGCCCUGACUGUAGCAGGUUUUGUACCUAUUGCUCAAUUUCAGUUUUAUGCUGGGGAGAAUAGUGAUAGGGCUUGGAGUUGAUUGGUUGAGAUCCAGGGAGGGUGGGGAUUGCAUGAUCAUAUCCUCUUGAAGGAGGUAAAGCUUGGGGAUCAGUGAAGACAUCCUUAUAGACUACUAACAGGUCUUGAAUGGUAUCUGGUAGUUGUCGGAUGUCUUUGGUGCUAGUGACUGCUGGUGGUGGGACUUGAUCCACUAGAACAAACACCCAAAUGGCAUUACCCUUGGUAGAGUUGUAGACUUUGGUGGCAGAAAUGGAGGAAAGUUGUAGUGGUGGACUGGUGAGACCCUUGAGCUUAACUGGUCUGCCCUUUUCAAGAAAUUCUAUUGUUUUUGCCUGCCAGUCACACUUCAUGGGACUAUGUGUGCUGAGCCAAUCAUAGCCAAGUAUGGCAUCAUAGGGUUGCGUGUCCAGGACUAUCAUAUCAGUUGAGAAGCUCUGCCCCUGGUAGUAGCACUGAAGCUGAGCUACCAUUUUGUUGGUGGUCAAAUGUUGCCCAUUGGCUAGUUUGACCUUCGUGGUGGGACAGGGUACAAUUGUCAGUCCGGCCAUAUCCACAAAUUGUUAACUGAUGAAACUGUGAGUGCUGCCACUGUUAAUCAGGAUGAGCAGGACCUUGUCCUUGACUUUGGCUUUCAGUUUGAUACAAUUGAGUGUGUCUUGACUAGAUAGGGCAUUGAGGGAUAGCUCACUGAAUUGUUCUUGUAACACAUCUUCAGCAGCAAGUUCAUUCAGAUAGUUCUCUGUCCAGAUCAUUAACUGUCAAUGCAUUGACUUGGGGUUUCUGUCGCUUGGGACAGACAUCCAGAUGGCCUGGGACAAUUUUUUCUCCACAGCUAUAGCAUAGCGCAUUAGCUUUUCUAUAGUCUCUCAAUUGUCUAUCUUUCCACAAUAAGGAAGAUUGCACAUUCUCCUUGGGGUCAGAUCUGGGCUGAUGGUAUUGUUUGUGCUGAGGAGUAGACUUGUUGAACUUGGGCUUACUACGUUCCAAGACCAUUUGUUGCACUUUUGCUAAGGUUGAGGCCUUUAGAAUAGUGGUAGGCAUUUGUGCUUCAACCAUGCCUCUGAUGUCAUCCUUGAGACCCAUGAUGUAUUGUUGAGUGAAGAACAUGUCAUCAUAAUGAGCAUUGUGCAUAGACACUCCAUACUGCAAAUUUUGAAACUUUGAUGUGUAGUCCUCUACUGUUCCUGUCUGUUUGAGGUCCAGUAAAUCAUGCAUGGAGGUUCUGAAGUCAUCUGAGCCAAACUCUUGUAGGAUAACACUGCAAAAAUGUGUCCAGCUUUUGAGGUUACUCUUUUGCUUGAAUGCUUGGUACCAUCGAGCUGCAUUAUCUUUCAAAUGCAGUCGUGCUGCUGUGAUCCACAUGCCUUCAGGGAUCUGAUAAAGCUCAAAGUAACUAGAGCAGUUAUCCAGCCACACUUUGGGAUCAGUACCAUAGAAAUCAGGAAAGUCCAUCUUGGGCAUAGCAGAUUUUGGUAGGAUCUAUUUGUCAGGUAUAUGUGCAAUGUCUUUCUUUGUUUGCCGAGGAUUGGGAAUUGCUCUGUGUGAUGGUUCAGGCUUGUCCAGUUUGAUUGGUUUGGCAAACACAUUCUGGAACGACUCAUGAUCAUCCAUGAUUUGAGAGUUCAUGUCCUCCUCAGCUACGUCAGUCUCAUCAUCAAAUUUCGGCUGCCCUGCAUACUUGUCAGCAUCUUCCAUCUGCCUAAUUGUGACCCUGGCUAUGGCUUCCCCAUUGGCCUGGACUUGCUUGGUAAUGAGGUGUUGUUCCUGGGCGUAUUCAUCCAUUGCAGCUGAUCUCAGGUCCAUUUGAGCUUUCAUUUGCCGCUGCACUGUAUGAAUGUCCUUGAUCUACUGGAACAUGACUUCCAGGUUCCGCUGCAGAUCUGCCCAAUGACUGUCGUCCUCCUCUGAAUGCCUAGACAUGUUGUCCAGGAUGAUGCGAGUUUGUUGUGAGGGCAGGACCACACCUUACUUCUUAGGACCCGUGGUGAAAGGUUGGGAAUUGCCCAAGGAAACUCGAUUCAGGUACCCGUAGUAGGUUUGGGAAAAUCCCUCCCCUGUUGCACUACGAAUACAAUCACCGCCGCCUGAGAGUGAGGCGGAACCGAGGGAUUUUACACCAGAACAGAUGUGAGGGCGCACCUGCACAUAGUCUGGCAACCCAAGUUUAGGGACACUCUCCCGCCAACGCCUCCGCACCACAAGAGUGGAGAAAGCUACGAAAUUUUACACAGGAACAGAUGCCCUGCAACCCUCGCUUCGUGUUCGCGCGUGCUAGAUGUAUGGAAAACAGAGCAAAGAUUGGAAAUUGCUCACUGGUUCCGCCGCCGAACCCGGUGUUGUCGAUGUAGUCCACCAGUCGAACAGGUGGUGUGCCGUAGAUCGAGUCGGUGUAGAACGGUCGCCGGAAGAUGGUAAGCGGUGGACGGGGGUGGUGUUGCUGACGCGGUCGUGAGGAUCCGCGACGAGCUGGAGGUGGAGGUGGAGGUGGAGGUGGAGGUGGUCGUCGCGGUUUCUGCUCCGCGGCGGACCGAUAACUUGGCGGCGAGAUCGGAUCGUCACCCACACGCCGAGGAAGGAUAGCUCUGGAUACCAACUGUCACACCCGUAACCGUGGCGGGUCACCGGUGGCGUGAGAUCUCGACAGAAUUACGGCAAACCCCCAGCCUUGGCGUCCUUGCUUUACUGAUGUCUGAAUCGAAUAAGUCUCAUUACAGAACUGGCGACACUUAUGUGUCCGCCUACAGUACUGGCAUUAGGGCCCACAUGUCAUAGACAUGGUUGAAUACAAGUAAUGAAAAAUGCGCUAAUGCUCUAUGAAGGCGGCUUUUGUGCGUCGUGGCCAUCGUGUGUGACAGCAAAAGUUUCUUGCUCUUCUUCUAUAAACCAACUCUGUACAAAGGCCUCUAGAAAUCAAGCAUUUCUAGCAUCCAUCCCUAAAAACUGAUUUCUAGAUAGAGGACAAAACAUUAGCCGGCCUAAGAAUCAAUUUCCACGGAUGAGCGAUAUUACCAGCUGCCCCAGAAAAUUCAUUUUUAGAAGGUAGUUGGAAACACCGGCUGCCUUUGAAAAUACAUUUGUAUAUGCGGUUGUUGGUAGGACCAUCAGUCACCAAAAACAAUUUGACUUUUCUUUUUAAGAUUUCUGUUUAGUUCUGUAAUUCAUAUAUAAUAUAAUGUUACAAAAGUACAAGUGGUCUCAUGAUUCAACAUAAAAGUAGGGCAUGUUUGGUUCCCUUUGCUAAAUUUUAGCUAGCUAAAAUUAUUUUAGCUAACUUUGGGUGACUAAUGGAACUAAACUAUUUUAGCUCAUUUUAGUCAAUGUGUUUAGAAUUUUAGCUACUAAAGUGACUAAAGUUUAGUUAGCUAAAAUUUAGCAAGGGGAACCAAACAAGCCUAUAGUCUCAUAGUUUUAUUAUACAAGUUAUAUGAAGCUAGAUAUAAGCGGCCUGAUAAAUCCAUAUACAUGUCAAUUUUUAGCUUUGUGUUUUAUUCGUGACUUCUCUCAACAUGGAUUUGUGGAACUUCUAUCAUGGAGCUGGGUCCUGUCGACGCGUUUGGCAAACGGAGUCAUGAAACGGCUCGUAAAAAGAGGCUGUUGGAGCUCUACCGAAUAAUGCUGUCAGAGACUUUGUUUGCCUAUUUGUAUGUCUUUUUAAACAUAAUGGAAAGAAGCUCUUCUUUUUAAUUAAUUAAAGAAGAAUAUAAUUGAUCUAGUUUUUACGAAAAACAGGCCUAAAAAUCUAUCCCUAAUACUAAAGAGGCAAAAUUUCAUCCUCAAAUUUCGUCUGGACUCAAAUUUCGUCUGGCCUCCCUAACAUCCGAAUCCGAAUAGGAUACAAAUACAAAACAUAUGAUUUUUAAAAAAAAAUUAAAAUCCGAAACAUUAGAGUCCCCUCAUCGUGGACCGGACAGAGGAAGAAAUAGAGAGGCACAAGAGGAGUAGAGUCCCAAAUCGAGACCAUCACCACUGAGAAUGAAUCAAAAACACCAUAUCGAUCAAAAACAAGUUAAUCCAUACACGAAUCGAUCGAGGAGAAAAUUAAAGAAAUAUAAUCGAAACAAGAAAAUCAGAUAAAGCAUCAAAGAGGGUCAUGCUUCUAGGGCGCCUGCAUCGCCAGUCAGGUCCGCCUGUGCCGCCAGCUUGGCGUUGGCCGGCCCGGGUGCCCGUGCCGUCGCCUCCCCACAAGCACGCAUCCAGAUACACCUAUGCCGCCGGCCAGGUCUUCCGCGCACAUCGGCCAUGUGCGCCUGUGUCGCUGCCUCCGCGAAGCCUGGCCAGGCCUAAUUCGCACACGGUGGAAGAAAGGAGGAGUAGGGAGGAGCAACGGCUAGAUGGGUAAGCGGCGUAGGCAAGCUACGCUAGCACUGGGAUCAGCUGUCGUACCGACGAGCGAGUGUGAGCGAGGAACUUCGUGAGCGAGCGGCGGCCAUGCCUGUUCGUGUGUCCUGGACAUGUCUGUUCCUUUAUUAAUCAUAUUGAAGAAAUGUGACACACGUACAUGGGCUAGGGCAAAGGCCCAAUAUUUAACAACCGACCAAGGCCAACCCAAAUUUGUUCAAAAAAAUAUUCAUUGUACUACAAAAUUAUAAUAAAGAAAAAUAAAUAUUUAAAAUAAUAUAUAUCUAUAUACCUCUGUAUAACUAAUAUUAAAUACUUCCUGCGUUCCAAAUUAUAAGUCAUUCCAAGAAUCUUGAGAGUCAAAACAUUUUCAAAUUUGACCAAAAAUAUAGAGAGAAAUAUAAAAAUUUAUAUCAUAAAAUAGGUACACUAUGAAAAUAUAACUAAUAAAGAAUCUUAUGAUACUUGGUUGGUACCAAAAAUGUUAUUAUUUUGCUAUAUAAAUUUAGUCAAACUUGAAAAACUUUGACUCUCCAAGAUUCUUGGAAUGACUUAUAAUUUGGGUGUGUGGCCAUAAUUUUCGUCUGACAUCUCUUCCUCGGCCCUCAGACAAAAAUAAGGAAAGAAGAAAUCGGCCAAAAAAUCCAACUCGAAUAAAAAAGAGCUCUAAAUCGAACACAUACUAUGCUAUCGUACACAAGCCCUACCAUAAAAAUCCAUCACAAAAACAACAUUCUUCAAAUCUUGCACAAGGAUCCAAAAUUCAUACCAAAAUCGACCAUAAAUUAAAUACAUUUAGGCAGUAGAUUGAAUCGAACUGUAUAACCAUUCGAAAUCGAAAAAAGACAGUUCAAAGAAGGGAAGGAAGGAAAAAUCCGUAAUCAUGCCACAACAGCAUCAGAUCGAGAGGGAGGAGGCGCGCUAAAGGAUGCGGAUGGAGGUGGCGCACCAACAUCAGAUCGAGAGAGAGGAAGCGCGCUAGAGGAUGCGGGUGGAGAUGAUGCACCGAAGGAAACUCCCUGUGUUUGGCUCUCGUGCGCCACCGACCGGCCUAAUGACGCCACCAUCAAACACCGGUAACUCCAAACGGCUCGGCCACAACUCCGGAUCUACAUGCUCGUGGGCUAGCGAAGGGGGCGCCGAGGUCACCUACUUGCCUGAAUCCAAGCGCGUGGCGGAGCGGAUGCGGGCCUCUGAAUCCAAGCGUGUGGAGUUGGGGAGGAAGCGAGCAAAUGUCAUUUGCCUUGGAGCAAGGGGCGACGGCCGACGGGUGAAUGGAUGACGGACCAAAGGACAUGCGUUUGGAUAUAUGCAGCAGAAAGAUGUGGAGCAGGAGGUGCCACGUAAGUAUUCUCUCCUCUUGAUUUUCCUGAAUUAAUCUCCUCUUCGGCUUUAUGAAGCUCUUCUCUUGGUUUGGGCCUUAUUUAGUUUUAAAAUUUCUUAACAAAAUGGAUACUGUAACACUUCGUUUGCAAUCAUAUUAACUACACUUAAAAAAAUCGUCUCGCAAAUUACAGUCAAACUAUACAAUUAGUUAUUUUUUAAUCUAUAUUUAAUGCUCUAUGCAUAUGCCG